This is a long non-coding RNA of Drosophila guanche, 1146 nucleotides long. RefSeq lists it as uncharacterized. The record is from RefSeq and is a predicted model, not a curated record. NCBI's taxonomy places the organism in Eukaryota, Metazoa, Arthropoda, Insecta, Diptera, Drosophilidae. The transcript has 3 exons.
CAACAAGUCACAUGACCCAACCCAACAACCACGAUGGCGACGUUUGGAGACUUUGGAGACGCCGGGAGACGUUGGCGGUGGUGGUGGCGACUACAACGACAACGACAAUGGAAAUGGCGGAAUGACAAGGGGAGCAGCAGCAGCCCAACAAAUUGACUAUCAUUAUCAAUGGCCUAUUAUAAACAGUUAUAUAUAUGUGCGAGCAACGACCUUCACCUUCACCCCGUGUGCCAACUGAGCAGGGAAGUACGAGUAUGUGCAAAUAAUGAAUGUCAAGUUCAAGGCAAUUGGCAAAAUCCGCUUCCUCAGGCUACGAGGUGUGUGGAGGCUCUGGCGACUGGUAAUGGCCAGAGCAACAUAAGUUAUUUAUCAGUCGAUGCGGACAAUGUACGAGUACGAGUGCGAAGCACACACCGUCCGUAUGUCGCUCACAAUACUAAUGAGCAAAUGACGACAAAAACAUCGAGUGAUUUUCAUUGUCACUUGAGAGCAAUGCAAACAGACCCCAGACCUCACCAGACUACAACGACAACGAUGACGAUGACAACCGAUCCGAGGUCUGGAGGAGGGCGGCGCAAUCAAUCAAUGAAUGGCCCCACCAAAGGCGGAGGCAGAGGCAAGGCAAUGACAAGUGUGGGCGUUCCGCAGAGCACUUGUGACACCUGGCAAACACCAGAACACACACCAGCAAAUAGUGACUCAAGUGCUGGGAGCCCCUGAAAGCAGAUGACGACAUCUCAGUGGAUCUUUUUGUAUUUCACCUUAAUCCAACAAUGUCUCAUCAUCAUCAGCUGUAGCAGCAGCAGCACAGCAGCAAAUGAGUAGAAAUUCAGAGAAACUUCCGUAAAUUUCAAGGAAAUAUAAAAAAUGUUAAUGAAAAGAUUGCGGCGGGUUCUGGCUUGAGGGAUCAAUUAAAAUUGUUUUGUGAAACGAAGAGCAUGUGAGUGAGCGAGAGCCCUUGAAGAUAAAGCAGAAUCCGAGUUCUUUGUUAGCUUUUCCAUAAUAUACACAUAAACCUUGUGAUUGGUCGAGGUCUGUGGCGACUGAAGUACGGAUCAGAAUUUGUUGACCCCUGAGAGUGUGUGUGCGCUACUGCUAUCUGAACGAUCUGUUAAAACAGGCAAUACAACUCGGAAACUUGUAAGC